UCCAUCGCGAGGUGGAAUCUGAAGGAAGCCGGAGGCAAACUUCUGGCCUGACGAACAGGAAUCACAUAAGGCAUGCAUAGGCUG
Non-coding RNA from Desulfotomaculum sp. 46_80, 84 nucleotides. The record is from Rfam. NCBI's taxonomy places the organism in Bacteria, Bacillati, Bacillota, Clostridia, Eubacteriales, Desulfotomaculaceae.